RNAcentral lists this ribosomal RNA (253 nucleotides) under uncultured bacterium. RNAcentral's name for it is "partial 16S ribosomal RNA". It matches the Rfam family "Bacterial small subunit ribosomal RNA", at positions 524 to 776 of the family's 1533-position model. The record is from RNAcentral.
UACAGAGGUCCCAAGCGUUGUUCGGAUUCACUGGGCGUAAAGGGUGCGUAGGCGGCGCGGUAAGUCGGGUGUGAAAUCUCGGGGCUUAACUCCGAAACUGCAUUCGAUACUGCCGUGCUUGAGGACUGGAGAGGAGACUGGAAUUUACGGUGUAGCGGUGAAAUGCGUAGAUAUCGUAAGGAAGACCAGUGGCGAAGGCGGGUCUCUGGACAGUAACUGACGCUGAGGAGCGAAAGCGUGGGGAGCGAACAGG